RNAcentral lists this ribosomal RNA (1211 nucleotides) under Salmonella enterica. RNAcentral's name for it is "partial 23S ribosomal RNA". It matches the Rfam family "Bacterial large subunit ribosomal RNA", at positions 1159 to 2353 of the family's 2925-position model. Lineage: Bacteria; Pseudomonadati; Pseudomonadota; Gammaproteobacteria; Enterobacterales; Enterobacteriaceae. RNAcentral also lists the same sequence under 1 other name. The record is from RNAcentral.
CUGCGCGGAAGAUGUAACGGGGCUAAACCAUGCACCGAAGCUGCGGCAGCGACACUGUGUGUUGUUGGGUAGGGGAGCGUUCUGUAAGCCUGUGAAGGUGUGUCGUGAGGCAUGCUGGAGGUAUCAGAAGUGCGAAUGCUGACAUAAGUAACGAUAAAGCGGGUGAAAAGCCCGCUCGCCGGAAGACCAAGGGUUCCUGUCCAACGUUAAUCGGGGCAGGGUGAGUCGACCCCUAAGGCGAGGCCGAAAGGCGUAGUCGAUGGGAAACGGGUUAAUAUUCCCGUACUUGGUGUUACUGCGAAGGGGGGACGGAGAAGGCUAUGUUGGCCGGGCGACGGUUGUCCCGGUUUAAGCGUGUAGGUGUGUGUUCCAGGUAAAUCCGGUUCACUUUAACACUGAGGCGUGACGACGAGGCACUACGGUGCUGAAGCAACAAAUGCCCUGCUUCCAGGAAAAGCCUCUAAGCAUCAGGUAACAUCAAAUCGUACCCCAAACCGACACAGGUGGUCAGGUAGAGAAUACCAAGGCGCUUGAGAGAACUCGGGUGAAGGAACUAGGCAAAAUGGUGCCGUAACUUCGGGAGAAGGCACGCUGACACGUAGGUGAAGUGAUUUACUCAUGGAGCUGAAGUCAGUCGAAGAUACCAGCUGGCUGCAACUGUUUAUUAAAAACACAGCACUGUGCAAACACGAAAGUGGACGUAUACGGUGUGACGCCUGCCCGGUGCCGGAAGGUUAAUUGAUGGGGUCAGCGCAAGCGAAGCUCCUGAUCGAAGCCCCGGUAAACGGCGGCCGUAACUAUAACGGUCCUAAGGUAGCGAAAUUCCUUGUCGGGUAAGUUCCGACCUGCACGAAUGGCGUAAUGAUGGCCAGGCUGUCUCCACCCGAGACUCAGUGAAAUUGAACUCGCUGUGAAGAUGCAGUGUACCCGCGGCAAGACGGAAAGACCCCGUGAACCUUUACUAUAGCUUGACACUGAACAUUGAGCCUUGAUGUGUAGGAUAGGUGGGAGGCUUUGAAGUGUGGACGCCAGUCUGCAUGGAGCCGACCUUGAAAUACCACCCUUUAAUGUUUGAUGUUCUAACGUGGACCCGUUACCCGGGUUGCGGACAGUGUCUGGUGGGUAGUUUGACUGGGGCGGUCUCCUCCUAAAGAGUAACGGAGGAGCACGAAGGUUGGCUAAUCCUGGUCGGACAUCAGGAGGUUAGUGCA